GGGAGGUUAGCGAAGUGGUUAAACGCGGCGGACUGUAAAUCCGUUCUUAGGUUCGGAGGUUCGAAUCCUCCACCUCCCA
This 79-nucleotide transfer RNA is filed under the name Catonella sp. RNAcentral's name for it is "tRNA-Tyr". It matches the Rfam family "tRNA". From Rfam's summary of the family: Transfer RNA (tRNA) molecules are approximately 80 nucleotides in length. Their secondary structure includes four short double-helical elements and three loops (D, anti-codon, and T loops). The record is from RNAcentral. Lineage: Bacteria; Bacillati; Bacillota; Clostridia; Lachnospirales; Lachnospiraceae.